Telopea speciosissima is the source of this 543-nucleotide long non-coding RNA. RefSeq lists it as uncharacterized. NCBI's taxonomy places the organism in Eukaryota, Viridiplantae, Streptophyta, Magnoliopsida, Proteales, Proteaceae. The transcript has 4 exons. The record is from RefSeq and is a predicted model, not a curated record.
UCCAGGUUGUAGUUGGACAACAAUUUGUCGUUCCAGCUUACUCUAAGGUGUCUGUGCUUCCCCAACCAAUAAACCAAGACAGUGAUGAAGAGCUUGAGUAUGCUGACAGUAGCAGUGGUGCUGUAGAUAGUCCAUCAAUCAAUGACCCACUGGAUGUUGCUAAAGGGGAGCCGAUACCCAAUUCAUCUGACACACCUGAGGUUGGGACUUCAGGAGCUGGUUAUAUUUGGUCAUUUUGUGAGGGAGGACAUGAAGAAGAAUGGAGGCAUUCAAUUGCUCCCAUUCCUGCUGAUAAGCUUUCAGAGUUGGCACGUGCUACUCAUGAAGAACUAAAUUUAUCUAUUCAAGAUGGCGGUAAUCUUCCACCUUCUGGAGAGCUAAUACAUGAUUCUGAUGGCACUAUUUCUGAAGAUGAUGAUAAUGAAGAUUUUAAAGAUGAUUCUGCCUACUUUGAGAAAGAGGUGGCAGCCACUUUUCUUAGGGCUGUUCAUGAAGGAGUGGAACAGGACCAUGUUAUCCUAGAAGUGAAUUCGCUUCGGUAAG